This 420-nucleotide ribosomal RNA is filed under the name uncultured bacterium. RNAcentral's name for it is "bacterial SSU rRNA". It matches the Rfam family "Bacterial small subunit ribosomal RNA", at positions 356 to 773 of the family's 1533-position model. The record is from RNAcentral.
GAGGAAUAUUGGUCAAUGGGCGGAAGCCUGAACCAGCCAUGCCGCGUGCAGGACGACGGCCCUAUGGGUUGUAAACUGCUUUUGUGCGGGAAGAAUAACCCCCUCGUGAGGGGGGAUGCCGGUACCGCACGAAUAAGGAUCGGCUAACUCCGUGCCAGCAGCCGCGGUAAUACGGAGGAUCCAAGCGUUAUCCGGAUUUACUGGGUUUAAAGGGUGCGUAGGCGGGUCGUUAAGUCGGCGGUGAAAUGCGGGGGCGCAACCUUCGAGCUGCCGCCGAAACUGGCGACCUUGAAUUCGGUCGAGGCUGGCGGAAUGCGUGGUGUAGCGGUGAAAUGCUUAGAUAUCACGCGGAACGCCGAUUGCGAAGGCAGCUGGCCGGGCCGAGAUUGACGCUGAGGCACGAAAGCGUGGGGAUCAAAC